RNAcentral lists this ribosomal RNA (770 nucleotides) under uncultured bacterium. Its description in RNAcentral is "bacterial SSU rRNA". It matches the Rfam family "Bacterial small subunit ribosomal RNA", at positions 28 to 791 of the family's 1533-position model. The record is from RNAcentral.
AGUAGCCUGGCGGCAGGCCUAACACAUGCAAGUCGAGCGGUAGCACAGAGAGCUUGCUCUCGGGUGACGAGCGGCGGACGGGUGAGUAAUGUCUGGGAAACUGCCUGAUGGAGGGGGAUAACUACUGGAAACGGUAGCUAAUACCGCAUAACGUCGCAAGACCAAAGUGGGGGACCUUCGGGCCUCAUGCCAUCAGAUGUGCCCAGAUGGGAUUAGCUAGUAGGUGGGGUAAUGGCUCACCUAGGCGACGAUCCCUAGCUGGUCUGAGAGGAUGACCAGCCACACUGGAACUGAGACACGGUCCAGACUCCUACGGGAGGCAGCAGUGGGGAAUAUUGCACAAUGGGCGCAAGCCUGAUGCAGCCAUGCCGCGUGUAUGAAGAAGGCCUUCGGGUUGUAAAGUACUUUCAGCGAGGAGGAAGGCGUUAAGGUUAAUAACCUUGGCGAUUGACGUUACUCGCAGAAGAAGCACCGGCUAACUCCGUGCCAGCAGCCGCGGUAAUACGGAGGGUGCAAGCGUUAAUCGGAAUUACUGGGCGUAAAGCGCACGCAGGCGGUCUGUCAAGUCGGAUGUGAAAUCCCCGGGCUCAACCUGGGAACUGCAUUCGAAACUGGCAGGCUAGAGUCUUGUAGAGGGGGGUAGAAUUCCAGGUGUAGCGGUGAAAUGCGUAGAGAUCUGGAGGAAUACCGGUGGCGAAGGCGGCCCCCUGGACAAAGACUGACGCUCAGGUGCGAAAGCGUGGGGAGCAAACAGGAUUAGAUACCCUGAU